CAGCCGCCGCGGGAAUACGUAGGUGGCAAGCGUUGUCCGGAAUUAUUGGGCGUAAAGGGCUCGCAGGCGGUUUCUUAAGUCUGAUGUGAAAGCCCCCGGCUCAACCGGGGAGGGUCAUUGGAAACUGGGAAACUUGAGUGCAGAAGAGGAGAGUGGAAUUCCACGUGUAGCGGUGAAAUGCGUAGAGAUGUGGAGGAACACCAGUGGCGAAGGCGACUCUCUAGUCUGUAGCCGACGCUGAGGAGCGAAAGCGUGGGGAGCGAACAGGAUUAGAUACCCCAGUAGUCCCUGUCUCUUAUAC
This 301-nucleotide ribosomal RNA is filed under the name uncultured bacterium. RNAcentral describes it as "partial 16S ribosomal RNA". It matches the Rfam family "Bacterial small subunit ribosomal RNA", at positions 509 to 807 of the family's 1533-position model. The record is from RNAcentral.